GGAAGUUUAUUUAAGGAUGUCUUCUUUCUUCCUCUCCUGUCUCUGGGGAAUUAUACCGGUUAGAUUCACGCAGUAGAUGUCAGUUUUGAGUCUGUUGUUCCUGCGUGUGCAAAACUGUCGUCAUUGUCAGGGCCAGAUACGUUGUGCUGAAGGGCUCAUCUGUACAGGGAGGAUCAUGGACAUGUGGUGUACUAGUGCAAUGGAUGUGUUUGGUUUAUUUUAUUCAGUAUUAAGAAAAAGGAAAAAGCGAUAGAGGUGGUGGAAUUAGACACUAAGUGGGUAUUUCUCCUCUAUAGAUGUGCCAGGAAAAAAUGUUGGAGUCACCAUUAACUCAAUCACAAGAAGAGCAGUGGAGAGGCUGGAAAGAGUUUGAGAUGAACGGAAUACGAAUGUCCGUAAAGUGGGCGCAGCCACUGCGUGCGGGUCCAGCCUCCCUGGUGCAGCGGGAGUGUCCGUGUUGUCCUGCUGACCUCUGCCCGGCUCCGGAGAGGAUCUUAUGAAUUGCUCCAGUCUGAAGGAUUACAUUACAGAGCAGUUCAUGAGUAUGGCAUUUCCUGGAACAUAUUCAAAGAAAUAUGGUGCAAGUGCAUAUUCUGGCAUACAGUUUUCUACCUUCCUGUAAGUGAAAUAUUACCAAAACCAAAAAACAACCCCCUCCAAGAAACAAACCAAAACAUUAAGGGUCUGUGAGACAUCUAAAACUAGAGGUAGACUUUUUUCAUAAAGUGCACCUUGUUAGUAUAAUACACUUUCAAACUUAUUUCUGAAAUCUGCUGUUAUUUCUGAAAUCUUGCUGCUAUAGAGCUUACACAUUUUCUGCAUGAAUAGUGACUGACAUUAGCUCAGCAUUACAUUUAAGGAGUCAGAUGCUUCUUUGCAAUGAAACGUGGAAUUUAGACAGAAGAUUAUCCACAACACCAUUAUUACACAGUUUGAACAGCAAAGUGUCUGUGUCACCUAGGCUGAGUUCACCAAGGUCUGUGGGAACCUGUGGUUUACCUCCUGCAGUUUUGUGAAUAUGCGUCAACCCUCUGGCUGCUCUACGGUCCAGGUAAACUUUGCAGAACAUCGUUUUUGUUGUGCUAACUGUGGGAUGCAAAGCCUACCCAGGCAGAUGGAGUUUGUUUCCAUCGUCUCCUGCAGCUGAGAGGGGGCACGGAGGUUUAGUUGUGUGCGUGCCAGCGGGGCUGCUAUCGCUGCGCUCCAGGGAGCCCCGCGGGGGCCAGGGCCGCUGGAGCAGCAAAGGAGAGCACGAGGUUGGAAAGGGCUCGGAGGGACUGCGCGUUUCAGAACGGGCAAUGCAAGGCGGAGAGCCUCGGGAAAACUUUUUCAGGUUUCGUUUACAAAUUGAAAUACGUAAGUAAACUCUUAAGAGAGACUCUGGAGACCAGAAACUGUUCACAAAGAAAUGUCUUCAGUAAUUUUGAACACUGAGUGAAUUGAGAUGUGGGUUUGGUAUAAGAGGCAUGUUAUUUAUCACCAAAGAUAACAGCUAAAUCCUACUAAAUAUCUGAUUAAUUUGGCCAUGUUUUUUCAUGUGGAAUGUUACUGAAAAUUCACACGUACCGUAUGUUUGUCAAAUAAAAAUCUCCACCAAAUUACUUAGCUCCA
Molecule: long non-coding RNA, 1611 nt
Organism: Struthio camelus australis
Lineage: Eukaryota; Metazoa; Chordata; Aves; Struthioniformes; Struthionidae
Source: Ensembl